GUGUGGGAGCCAUGAAGUCAUGGCUCAGGCUUGUAGCGCCACCUGGUGCCUCGCUGACCUCAGUGACCUGCAUGUCCGUGCCUUGCAGUGUAUUAAGGGCAUGACCCUAUAAGGCGAUGGGUGGGUUUAAGCCAUGACCGGAGGUAGGUAAUGUGAGACACUGGCAAACAGCCAUGCGGCUGGAGAGAGACAAAGGAUAAAAAAAAAGCUACGGGAGGAGAGAGAAGUUUGAAAGGAGCUGCUCAUACCAUCCUGAAAAUAUUGCUGGCUCUCUGUGUCUUUAUUUUAUGCUAAACUGCGCCAUUUGUAACGGCUGGCUCCGACAAGUGGUGCCCCGUGUGAGGCUGAAUAAAAGAAUACGUCUGAGGCUUUUAAAAGAAAACCGUGUGAGGCAACUUAAAGAAAACAGUCUGAGGCAGACUAAGAGGAUUUUAAAAGAAAACCGUGUGAGGUUUUUCGAUCCAAGCAAAGGAUAUCAUCGGCUCACCACGCCCGGCAAGGGUUGCAAGCGCUAAUCAUCUUAAAAAGAUCCCGGUGAGUUUGAUCUCUCUUUUAUAUUGAUUUUAGAAAAAUGGGCAGCUC
Molecule: non-coding RNA, 582 nt
Organism: Podarcis lilfordi (Lilford's wall lizard)
Lineage: Eukaryota; Metazoa; Chordata; Lepidosauria; Squamata; Lacertidae
Source: the annotation of a GenBank genome assembly